This 96-nucleotide ribosomal RNA is filed under the name Triticum aestivum (bread wheat). RNAcentral's name for it is "partial small subunit ribosomal RNA". The record is from RNAcentral. Lineage: Eukaryota; Viridiplantae; Streptophyta; Magnoliopsida; Poales; Poaceae.
CUUUGGCUGAUAGGUACUGUAGCUGGUAUUGCUGUGAUUGGUUUAGUAGGUGUUUUAUUUUAUGGUUCAUAUUCUGGAUUGGGUUCAUCUCUAUAG